Molecule: long non-coding RNA, 228 nt
Organism: Acanthopagrus latus (yellowfin seabream)
Lineage: Eukaryota; Metazoa; Chordata; Actinopteri; Spariformes; Sparidae
Exons: 2
Source: RefSeq, a predicted model, not a curated record
GGAGCAGCUCUGACCUGUAUGUUGAUCAGCACCGGAGAGGAGAGACACCUGGUCCAACAAGGUGACGGACGAGUCGCCGCAGGACGUGAAGCAGGAAAACUGAGGAUCCGUCUCCUGGUGAAACUCCUUCAGGUCCUGCAGUUUGUUGACUCUGGUUUCACCUGUUGACAGUGAGCACUGUUGUCUUUGCUGGAUAUUUACAUAAUAAAACCUUUUUUUUGAAUUACA